UCCCUGGAGGACUAGUGGUUAGGCCACAGUGCUCUCACUGCUGUGGCCUGGGCUCGAUUCCUGGGCAGGGAA
Molecule: transfer RNA, 72 nt
Filed under: Pangasianodon hypophthalmus (striped catfish)
Lineage: Eukaryota; Metazoa; Chordata; Actinopteri; Siluriformes; Pangasiidae
Rfam family: tRNA
About the family: Transfer RNA (tRNA) molecules are approximately 80 nucleotides in length. Their secondary structure includes four short double-helical elements and three loops (D, anti-codon, and T loops).
Source: Rfam by way of RNAcentral